GGGUUGUGAGGUUAAGCGACUAAGCGUACACGGUGGAUGCCCUGGCAGUCAGAGGCGAUGAAGGGCGUGCUAAUCUGCGAUAAGCGCCGGUAAGGUGAUAUGAACCGUUAUAACCGGCGAUACCCGAAUGGGGAAACCCAGUGUGACUCGUCACACUAUCAUUAACUGAAUCCAUAGGUUAAUGAGGCGAACCGGGGGAACUGAAACAUCUAAGUACCCCGAGGAAAAGAAAUCAACCGAGAUUCCCCCAGUAGCGGCGAGCGAACGGGGAGGAGCCCAGAGCCUGAAUCAGCAUGUGUGUUAGUGGAAGCGUCUGGAAAGGCGCGCGAUACAGGGUGACAGCCCCGUACACAAAAGCGCAUGUGCUGUGAGCUCGAUGAGUAGGGCGGGACACGUGGUAUCCUGUCUGAAUAUGGGGGGACCAUCCUCCAAGGCUAAAUACUCCUGACUGACCGAUAGUGAACCAGUACCGUGAGGGAAAGGCGAAAAGAACCCCGGCGAGGGGAGUGAAAAAGAACCUGAAACCGUGUACGUACAA
Molecule: ribosomal RNA, 538 nt
Filed under: Salmonella enterica subsp. enterica serovar Muenchen
Lineage: Bacteria; Pseudomonadati; Pseudomonadota; Gammaproteobacteria; Enterobacterales; Enterobacteriaceae
Also listed under: 1 other name
Description: partial 23S ribosomal RNA
Rfam family: Bacterial large subunit ribosomal RNA
Source: RNAcentral